Molecule: non-coding RNA, 115 nt
Organism: Triticum aestivum (bread wheat)
Lineage: Eukaryota; Viridiplantae; Streptophyta; Magnoliopsida; Poales; Poaceae
Source: Rfam
AAUAUACUCCCUCUGUUCCGAAUUACUUGUCGCAGAUAUGGAUGUAUGUAGAUGUAUUUUAGUUCUAGAUACAUCCAUUUCUGCGACGAGUAAUUUGGAACGGAGGAAGUACUUU